Molecule: ribosomal RNA, 395 nt
Filed under: Psammodromus algirus
Lineage: Eukaryota; Metazoa; Chordata; Lepidosauria; Squamata; Lacertidae
Description: partial 12S ribosomal RNA
Rfam family: Bacterial small subunit ribosomal RNA
Source: RNAcentral
UGCUAAGCCAUAAAUAUUGAUAGAUAAAUUACAAUACUUUCCGCCAGAGAACUACAAGUGAAAAACUUGAAACUCAAAGGACUUGGCGGUGUCCCACAUUCAGCCUAGAGGAGCCUGUCCUAUAAUCGAUACCCCACGUUUUACCUCACCAUCACUAGCACUAACUCAGCCUAUAUACCGCCGUCGACAGCUUACCCCAUGAGGGAAAAAUAGUAAGCAAAAUAGCCCUCCCCGCUAAUACGUCAGGUCAAGGUGUAGCUCAUGUGACGGAAGAGAUUGGCUACAUUUUUUAUAUUAAAAAACACGGAAUGCUACAUGAAAAAUAACAUGAAGGCGAAUUUAGUAGUAAGACAGACAAGAGAACCUGUCUUAAUAAUGCUCUGGGACGCGCACAC